RNAcentral lists this ribosomal RNA (253 nucleotides) under uncultured bacterium. Its description in RNAcentral is "partial 16S ribosomal RNA". It matches the Rfam family "Bacterial small subunit ribosomal RNA", at positions 524 to 776 of the family's 1533-position model. The record is from RNAcentral.
UACGUAGGUGGCAAGCGUUGUCCGGAUUUACUGGGCGUAAAGAGCGCGCAGGCGGCCAAGUCAGUCGAAUGUGAAAGCCCCCGGCUCAACUGGGGAGGGUCAUUCGAUACUGCUCGGCUCGAAGACAGGAGAGGGAAGUGGAAUUCCCGGUGUAGUGGUGAAAUGCGUAGAUAUCGGGAGGAACACCAGUGGUGAAGGCGACUUUCUGGCCUGUUCUUGACGCUGAGGCGCGAAAGCUAGGGGAGCAAACGGG